GUCCUCUCUGGUAUAGCAAUUGAGGUUGCUGCAGACUCUUUAGGUAGACUAGCACCCUCAUCAGCAAGAAAUGAUGUCUCAAGAGAUAGAUGAUAUGCAGCAAAUACAGCAUACUGAACGACCUUCUUCAGCUUCUUGAGCUCUUCACGACAUGAGCCCCUCAGCAAAACCGUGCAACCUAAACGCCUGGGACAACCAUCAAAAAACAUCAGAGUUUUUGAUGUCCUUUUGUUCAAUUGGUUGGCAUGUUCAUGCUCUUCAGAUACUUUUUCUAAGUGGAAGAGUUCACAAUGUCCCAAUCUUGUUGUGGCUAUGUUAUCAAUGGAUGGGGUUAUAAGAGCACCAGUGCACCUGGCUACUCGCUCUAGCAGUGGCACCUUAACAUUCAACACCAAAGAGAUCUCUUUUUCCAAUAGAAGCUCCUGAGCAUAUGAAGAUACACUUUUCUCCACAAGUAGCACAUUAGGAUGAUGGGCCUCUAUUCUU
This 486-nucleotide unclassified non-coding RNA is filed under the name Hevea brasiliensis (rubber tree). Lineage: Eukaryota; Viridiplantae; Streptophyta; Magnoliopsida; Malpighiales; Euphorbiaceae. The record is from RNAcentral.